GUACUGACCCUACGGGGGGCAGCAGUGGGGAAUUUUGGACAAUGGGCGCAAGCCUGAUCCAGCAAUGCCGCGUGCGGGAAGAAGGCCUUCGGGUUGUAAACCGCUUUUGUACGGAACGAAAAGGCUCUGGCUAAUACCUGGGGCUGAUGACGGUACCGUAAGAAUAAGCACCGGCUAACUACAUGCCAGCAGCCGCGGUAAUACGUAGGGUGCGAGCGUUAAUCGGAAUUACUGGGCGUAAAGCGUGCGCAGGCGGUU
RNAcentral lists this ribosomal RNA (258 nucleotides) under uncultured Tepidicella sp. RNAcentral describes it as "partial 16S ribosomal RNA". It matches the Rfam family "Bacterial small subunit ribosomal RNA", at positions 329 to 580 of the family's 1533-position model. Lineage: Bacteria; Pseudomonadati; Pseudomonadota; Betaproteobacteria; Burkholderiales. The record is from RNAcentral.